CCAAGGAGUCUAACAUGUGCGCGAGUCAUUGGGACUUGUUCAUGCCCAAAGGCGAAAUGAAAGUGAAGGACGGCGGCAGUCGUCUUCGUUGGGACCCGCUUCUUCGGGAGCGGAGCACCAACGGCCCGUCCCGAUCGCUUUGUCGAUGGGGCGGAGCGAGAGCGUACACGUUGGGACCCGAAAGAUGGUGAACUAUGCCUGGGCAGGACGAAGCCAGAGGAAACUCUGGUGGAGGUCCGCAGCGAUUCUGACGUGCAAAUCGAUCGUCAGACCUGGGUAUAGGGGCGAAAGACUAAUCGAACCAUCUAGUAGCUGGUUCCCUCCGAAGUUUCCCUCAGGAUAGCUGGCGCUCUUUGGAGGCAUUCUCAUCCGGUAAAGCGAAUGAUUAGAGGCCUUGGGGCCGAAACGACCUCAACCUAUUCUCAAACUUUAAAUGGGUGAGAAGUCCGGCUUGCUCGACUGAAGCCCGGACGGUCUUGGAUGCGAGUGCCCAGUGGGCCACUUUUGGUAAGCAGAACUGGCGCUGUGGGAUGAACCAAACGCCGGGUUAAGGCGCCCGAUGCGAGACGCUCACGAGACCCCAUGAAAGGUGUUGGUUGCUAUAGACAGCAGGACGGUGGCCAUGGAAGUCGGAAUCCGCUAAGGAGUGUGUAACAACUCACCUGCCGAAGCAACUAGCCCUGAAAAUGGAUGGCGCUUCAGCGUCGAGCCCAUACCCGGCCGUCGCGACUGGUGGUUACAUUUGGUCGCGACGAGUAGGAGGGCGCAGGGGUGUGCGUUGAAGGUACCGGGAGCAAUCCCGUCUGGAGCCACCCCUGGUGCAGAUCUUGGUGGUAGUAGCAAAUACUCAAGUGAGAACCUUGAGGACUGAGGUGGAGAAGGGUUCCAUGUGAACAGCAGUUGAACAUGGGUCAGUCGGUCCUAAGGAAUAGGGGAAAUCCGUUACGAAGCGGGACCUUGUACAUGCGAUACUGGUCCCGCAUUGGACCGAAAGGGAAUCGGGUUAAUAUUCCCGAACCCGGACACGGAGAUCGACCCCUCACGGGGUUCAGUGCGGUAACGCAAACGACCUCGGAGACGUCGACGGGAGUCCCGGAACGAGUUGUCUUUUCUUUGUAAGGGCUCGGCUCCCUGGAAUCGGCUCACCCGGAGAUAGGGAUGCUGUCCCCGUAAAGCACCGCGCCUCUUGCGGUGUCCGGAGCACCCCCGUCGGCCCUUGAAAAUCCGAGCGAGAGAUAGUGAUUUUCGUGCCGGACCGUACCCAUAUCCGCAGCA
RNAcentral lists this ribosomal RNA (1275 nucleotides) under Neogovea virginie. RNAcentral's name for it is "LSU rRNA". It matches the Rfam family "Eukaryotic large subunit ribosomal RNA", at positions 666 to 1861 of the family's 3401-position model. The record is from RNAcentral. Lineage: Eukaryota; Metazoa; Arthropoda; Arachnida; Opiliones; Neogoveidae.